AUGGACAUCGUGGUUUAUUCCAAUAACAUCAGGCUGUGCUCAGUUGAUGGCGGGUCUGUGACGACAGUGCGAUCACAUCGUGCCGGCCGGUCGGGAGAAGCUAGGAGGACCAGUUCAACCGGGACGUAUGUGAUCGAGCUCAAACAAAAUGGAGAAAGUCUUUAUCUUGUGGCCAGUAAGUAUAUGAGUUGGUUCAGAGGAAUAGUUACUCGGAAAGGUCGGAGAUUUGAGAUUGACGAAGACAAGGAGUCAAGAGGCCCAAAAAUCAUGAAGAAUCCUGUUUCACUGGGACAUAAUGGCAUGUACACUGAUCUUCUUCCCGGGGAGCACAUCGCACACCUGAAGCUUGGAUAUCAACGUUUUCUGUGGGCUUUCUUUAUUCUGUCUAGAUUGGGAGAACAGAAGAAAGGAGACUCUAAGGACGAAAGCAUAGCAUUUACCAUCAUGGCACUUAUGUUCUUUGAAGGACCAAGGUUUGUUGAUGUGUGUGAUUUCUUCAAGAGCGUGCUGACUCAAGAUGCAAACAUUGAGCUCGGAGGGACCAAUCAAGAACAGAUAGGAGAUUGGUGUGACUAUGGUACAAGGUUCUACACUGAGAAAGGGGAUGAGAGGGCAGAACCUAUUCUUAUCUCACAAAAUACAUCAGAACAUGUGAAAGCAAUUCCAAGGAAGCUUCGGAUAAUGUGCCGAUCAACGUGGGACAAGUGGAUGGAGGACAAGGGUGAUCAGAGCAAGAGCAGCUCCAGCAGUCGCAGAGGAUAA
Molecule: ribosomal RNA, 762 nt
Filed under: Triticum aestivum (bread wheat)
Lineage: Eukaryota; Viridiplantae; Streptophyta; Magnoliopsida; Poales; Poaceae
Description: partial small subunit ribosomal RNA
Source: RNAcentral